AAUAAAUUUAUAAUGGAGGGAAGCAAAGAUAAGAUCACUUUUCAUAAAUCCUAAUGUUGCAAAUAUAUCGUAGAAGCUAUUUUAAGUUGGAUUCUAAUAAAUGGUCUGCAGACUAAAUGACGAUUCCAGUAAUAUUUUUACUGCGAAUGUCAUUAAGGAAACUAAUCAAUAAAAACGAAAAUAAUUAUAUAUAUACGUAUAAAGAAAAAAAGAAAAGGGGGGAAAAAAGCAGCAGUUAGACUAUUGAAAAUGGUAAAUUCCUUUCAAACUGUCAACAAAAUUUUGUCUUCUAUCGGGCGAAGCAGAGAUAAGAGUUGUGUAUUUGUCUCUUAGAACAGUAGAUUUCAAAAACGAGAUAAAAUAUUAAAAUGACCAAAUUGACAAAGAAAGAGACUUGAUCAGAACAAUAGAGUAUCAUGAAUUUUGUGCCACAUGACGUGUGAUUUAAUGUCUGCAUUCAUCAGCAUCCAAAAGCCAUACGAAUAGACUUGGAUCCAUUAAUAAUGUUUAUGGAAUUUUUCUACUCAUCGUCUGUCGGAGUCGAUGAUUAGGGAGAAAAGUGUAAAUCAUUGUUCUCACUAUUGCUUCAUUGGAUACAAAGCGGGUCUCCGUCAUCAAUUGUACUUUAAAAAAUUUUUCCCAAAUCUAGUUUAAUGAUGGUACGAAAGACUUUGAUAAAGAUUGUUAGAAAAUAAAGUUUUUAUAUAUAGAUUUAUGCUCUUCCAAUUUUUUCCCCGUUUUUAUUUUUUAUUUUAUUUUAUUUUUUUGGUCAGAUUUCCUUUAGCUGCUAUCCUUCGAAGUUCACUCGUUUUUGUAUUUUGGAUUUUGAGCUCUUUUCAGUUGAGUAGAAUAAAUUGUGACGACUGUACAAUGAUGUGCGAUUCUGAAUAGUACUUGGAGACGUAACAGAAAAGUAGUGUCCUAUAGAACUAUACAAUUCUAUCCAGAUGAAUUUCUACGCCAUUGUUAGUCGGGUUGAAUCGCAUAGUAAUGUAAUGUUCGAAAUUUUGGAUCGGAGUCAUGCGUUAUAAUACACGAAUUGUAUCAUUAAUAAACUCUUCUUGCUUAUUAUCCGAGUCUCGCCGUUAUGACGUCACAACUAUUGAUCUAAGUAGUCAUUUCUCAGAACAUUUGAUCAAUAACCGUUUCAAGAAAUGUGAUAUCAUUAAGAUAUUUUUGGUCUUCAAACGCUAAUUUUGUAGAGUCGAAAACUGAUUUAUACAAACUAGUCAAAUUCCAUUGAGGAAAACUUUUGGAUAACAAGCGAUUUUGGGGCCUAUUGUAUCCACGAGUCGUUCCACAGGCGUCAGUAACUAUGCUUCAAAUUGUACACUUUUCUGUCCCGGGAAUAGAUUCGAGUAUACAAGAAAUAAUCCAUUGUAAAGAUGGGUGAAAAGAGGGAGAAGAUUGUGCCAGAGGCAUGGUUGCCCCUGACGAAGACAAAAGAAUCCCAUAAUAAUCAAUCACAGGACACCCUUGGGCGAGGUGGGGACAGGCGACACCUGCAGACUAGACACCCCCUACAGAUUGGGGAAUGUUGUCCUUCAGUUUUGUUUCCUGAAAUUUGUAAUAAUCUGUCUAAUAAAACGUUAAAAAAAAUAUCUGAUUUGUUGAAAACGUCUACUUCCGUUUUAGAGCUUGUGAUUGCAUGUCAUCGUUUUAUAUAAAUAUAUAACCAUAAUUUUUAGAUGCAAAUUAAAACUGCUCUACAUAUGAAGGUUGUAUAUUAUCAGUUGUGUAAUUGGUUGACGUGAUGGGGAAAAUGAAACAUUGACACUCCUGCAGAUAACUCGCAACUUAAGUGGCAUCUAGUUACAACAGGAUGUUUCUUCUUCGUUAUUAUAGAAGGUGAAAGUCAAUAGAACGAGAGCAAAGUAUAUCCAAUCAAAAAUUAAUUUCUAUACGCAGACAUAGAAAAUGUGUUGUAAUGAUGGAGUAAUGAGAAUAAAUAACAUUGACUCGUCUGUCAUUACACAGUUAAGAAAGUAUAAUUUUUACGGGUCCCUAAGGUCAUGUUACACCCAGUGAAGGGGAAUAAACAGGUAGGUUAAAAGUUUUAUAAGGAAAACAUAAAUGUAAAAGAAUGAAGACAAAAUAUGUAUAUUUCUCUAUGUAUGAAGGAUUUCCUGUCGUUCUCUGAUACUUCAUGGCUUCUGGAAUCAAACGAGAAUGACGCUUGAUUUUACGAUUCGGUGGAUAGCAUUGGAUAUGUUAAUGGUCGCAGACAACCAUCCAGCUAAUGGUGCUGUGUCCACCGCCAUUCAGACAUCUAUACCACUUGGGACAUAGCAACUGGAGUAGCCACCUAAAUAUGUCACCCGUUGCUAUAGAAACAAGCAGUGCUGCUAUUUUGCACACAAUUGUGUCUAGCUAAUGAUAGUGCUUUUAGAGAGUGGCAGCAAAGAGUAGGCAGGAAGGUCACUUUUCACUCGAUGGAUUAAGAAAACCGAUAUUUUUCCACCGAUUCGCUUUAAGAAUUUUCAAUGCUGAUAAGCAACUACAUUCCAAACUUUUUUAAAACUCAUUUUUUCCGUUAAAUGAGCAAUUAGGCCUAAAUAGACAGGUGACCUGCUACCUUCAUCAUCAUUUUAAAAUACAACAAACUCGAUACAUAACAUUUCGUAACUAUAGUUUCUUCGCCCCGUCACGUGAUCGGAUAGGUCACCUUGCUAUGACGUCAUGCGACAAGCCAUGGGUGACAUUUCCCACGUUCACCUGGAUCCCGAACUUUUCCUAUUCUAUUGGACUGGCUUCACUUAGUUUCUCGAGUGGAUCUUUUGUGAUUAAGUAAUUACCAUCUGGACGAAGACAUUUCCUAAUAAGGACUCUAACUGCGUUCAUUUUGCACGGAGUUUGGACAUUAUGCGACUAAUUUUCUUCGGUUCGUCUACAAUUUAAAAUGCUGUAGAGUCGAUUGCUAAUGAAACUGAUUCGUUUAUAAUGAUUUCUCAGAGAAAACUAGUGACGCUUAUGAAUUCGUAAAGUGACGCGAUAUUAAAUACUGUUUUUACUCAACGAAAAACUUUAAUAUUUAUCGUAACGAAGUAAAAACAACUGAAUAAAUUCAUCAAAGCAGAUGUAAUAAAGUUGAAAGUGUUAUUGUUUUACUAAUAUCAUCCUAUAUAAUUUUAUCUUCCAGCUUCAGUUACCAGUUAAAUAAGACUUUAUACCGUAAUAUUUGAAUGAAUUAAUACGGUUUAAAUUAUAUUCUACAAUCCUAUAAUAUAAUGUGUUGUAAUAUAAUUAUAUGAAGUCAUU
Molecule: long non-coding RNA, 3258 nt
Filed under: Androctonus crassicauda
Lineage: Eukaryota; Metazoa; Arthropoda; Arachnida; Scorpiones; Buthidae
Source: RNAcentral